This 253-nucleotide ribosomal RNA is filed under the name uncultured bacterium. RNAcentral's name for it is "partial 16S ribosomal RNA". It matches the Rfam family "Bacterial small subunit ribosomal RNA", at positions 524 to 776 of the family's 1533-position model. The record is from RNAcentral.
UACGAAGGGGGCUAGCGUUGCUCGGAAUCACUGGGCGUAAAGGGCGCGUAGGCGGCCAUUCAAGUCGGGGGUGAAAGCCUGUGGCUCAACCACAGAAUUGCCUUCGAUACUGUUUGGCCUGAGUAUGGCAGAGGUCAGUGGAACUGCGAGUGUAGAGGUGAAAUUCGUAGAUAUUCGCAAGAACACCAGUGGCGAAGGCGGCUGACUGGGCCAUUACUGACGCUGAGGCGCGAAAGCGUGGGGAGCAAACAGG